ACGAACGCUGGCGGCGUGCUUAACACAUGCAAGUCGAACGGUGAAGCGCCUUCCUUUUUGGUGGGUGUGGAUGAGUGGCGAACGGGUGAGUAACACGUGAGUAACCUGCCCCCUUCUUCUGGAUAACCGCAUGAAAGUGUGGCUAAUACGGGAUAUUCUGGGUCUGUCGCAUGAUGGGUCUGGGAAAGAUAUUGUUUCGGUGGGGGAUGGGCUCGCGGCCUAUCAGCUUGUUGGUGGGGUGAUGGCCUACCAAGGCGGUGACGGGUAGCCGGCCUGAGAGGGUGGACGGUCACACUGGGAGUGAGACACGGCCCAGACUCCUACGGGAGGCAGCAGUGGGGAAUAUUGCACAAUGGGCGCAAGCCUGAUGCAGCGACGCCGCGUGAGGGAUGGAGGCCUUCGGGUUGUGAACCUCUUUCGCCAGUGAAGCAGGCCUGCCUCGUUUGUGGGUGGGUUGACGGUAGCUGGAGAAGAAGCGCCGGCUAACUACGUG
This 493-nucleotide ribosomal RNA is filed under the name uncultured bacterium. RNAcentral describes it as "partial 16S ribosomal RNA". It matches the Rfam family "Bacterial small subunit ribosomal RNA", at positions 29 to 507 of the family's 1533-position model. The record is from RNAcentral.